GCUCCUAGAUGGAUUCCCCCUCCUCCUGGACAUGCAAAGAUCAGAGUGGAUGGUGCAGUUGCUAGGAAUCUGAAGGAAGGCUCUUUCAAUGCGGUCUGCCGUGACACUUCGGGAACAUAUCUGGGGUCUUCAUGCAUCAGACUAGCAGGUAUAAAAGAUCCUGCUACGUUGGAAGCACUUGCUUGCCGAGAAGCACUUGCUUUAGCAACAGACCUAGCUUUGACACAUGUUAUAGUUGCCUCCGAUUGCAAGGGGGUGGUUAAUGAAAUUCAGAAGCAAACUGGUGGCCUGUAUGGUAGCACUGUUAAAGAGAUUGUGGAGACGGCAAGAACAAUUAACAACUGCUCCUUCAUAUUCGAGGGAAGAUCUACAAAUCAUGAGGCGCAUAGCCUUGCUAAGCAUGCUUUCGGUCUGGGUUUUGGGCGCCAUGUGUGGCUGUUAAACCCACCAGAUCUUAGUUGUAUCCCUAUGAACAUUAUUGAAUAA
RNAcentral lists this ribosomal RNA (486 nucleotides) under Triticum aestivum (bread wheat). Its description in RNAcentral is "partial small subunit ribosomal RNA". Lineage: Eukaryota; Viridiplantae; Streptophyta; Magnoliopsida; Poales; Poaceae. The record is from RNAcentral.